UUCGGAUUGAGGUCUGCAACUCGACCUCAUGAAGUUGGAUUCGCUAGUAAUCGGAUAUCAGCAAUGAUCCGGUGAAUACGUUCCCGGGCCUUGUACACACCGCCCGUCAAGCCAUGGAAGUUGGGAGAACCUGAAGCCGAUAACCGCAAGGAGUCGUCUAGGGUUAUACCAGUAACUAGGGCUAAGUCGUAACAAGGUAACCGUACCGGAAGGUGUGGUUGGACCACCUCCUUU
This 234-nucleotide ribosomal RNA is filed under the name Bacteroidia bacterium. RNAcentral describes it as "partial 16S ribosomal RNA". It matches the Rfam family "Bacterial small subunit ribosomal RNA", at positions 1292 to 1533 of the family's 1533-position model. The record is from RNAcentral. Lineage: Bacteria; Pseudomonadati; Bacteroidota; Bacteroidia.